GUUUGUAAUGUUACAUUAGAACUCACAAAUUUAUGUUUAUGUAUGGAUUUCGAUUGACUUUGUAAUAUCCAGCUGUCCAAAAUACGAAUGGAGUAAAUAAAUUAAAAAAAAACAAGAAGGAAUAAGGGAAAUCACAGGCGCGUUGUACACUGCUCAUCGACAGCACGUACAGAGGGCAUGCGACGAAAGACCUCCAUCCUAUCCCUCAUCGAGACCACGCGAGAAUAGAAGUGGGGGUGAGAGUUGAUUAUAGGCUGCUUGCCAGUUGAGGAAGGAUAAGGGAUUCGAAUUUGUCGAAGGGAGAAGCACUGGAGGUUGGAGACCAAAUCCCCCGCUUGCUAGAAGAACUCGAGUUAUAGAUCCACAGGCCUUUGACAGUCGAUUUCGAACAAAAACAAACUGAAGCAGGAAGUUGAAUGGAGGGAGAACGCUAAGAUGAGACAUGAUGGAGUAGACACAACGGAGGCACACACGAGCUAAAGGCUGGAGUUUUGGGCUAAAUCGAUAUUGUGUACCCUAUUGAUAUGUUUCCUUUACUAACCCUUUAUGUCUUUGUAUUUCUGGAUUUUACGAAUUACGUGUGUCAUGUUCGUUCUUUUGUGUGUAUAUCGUGCGGGUCGUGCUGUAUUUCAAAACAAUGUCAUACUAAAUUUAAAUUUUCUUUAUGUGCAUGCACGUUUAAAAGUUUUAAAUCUUACGCAUUUUUACUUAUUCCCA
Long non-coding RNA from Cucurbita maxima (winter squash), 717 nucleotides. RefSeq lists it as uncharacterized. NCBI's taxonomy places the organism in Eukaryota, Viridiplantae, Streptophyta, Magnoliopsida, Cucurbitales, Cucurbitaceae. The transcript has 2 exons. The record is from RefSeq and is a predicted model, not a curated record.